UACAGAGGGUGCAAGCGUUGCUCGGAAUUACUGGGCGUAAAGCGUGCGUAGGCGGUUUGUUAAGUCUGUCGUGAAAGCCCUGGGCUCAACCUGGGAAUUGCGAUGGAUACUGGCAAGCUAGAGUACGGUAGAGGAUGGUGGAAUUCCCGGUGUAGCGGUGAAAUGCGUAGAGAUCGGGAGGAACACCCGUGGCGAAGGCGGCCAUCUGGACCAGUACUGACGCUGAGGCACGAAAGCGUGGGGAGCAAACAGG
This 253-nucleotide ribosomal RNA is filed under the name uncultured bacterium. Its description in RNAcentral is "partial 16S ribosomal RNA". It matches the Rfam family "Bacterial small subunit ribosomal RNA", at positions 524 to 776 of the family's 1533-position model. The record is from RNAcentral.